CGGGCGAUGGUAGCACAUGCCUUUAAGUCCCAGAACGAGAGAGAGAGAGAGAGAGUGAGAGAGAGAGAGAGAGAGAGAGAGAGAGAGAGAGAGAGAGAGAGAAACUGCCAGGAGAGGCAUCGGUGGGGGCAGAUGAGCCUCUUCAGAGAACGUCUCCAAAGUAAUCCUACAAACAGUGAAAAUAUGAGCUUUCUAUCUAAUCGUGCCUGUCUAGUAUUCUCCUCCUCCUCUGGAAUGCCAGGCAAGGACCUCUGGUUCAACCCAGAGAUUCAAUGCAAGCUCACCGCCUAGGGGAGAGAUUUCCUGAAACACUCGGACCGCCUCCUUUCUCUCCAGUGGGACCGCCUCCAGCCCAGCUCUUCCAACGAAGCCUUCAGCUUCCCCCUUCCUUCCCUUGGAAGCUCCUCUCUGCGCCCCGCCCCUACGUAGACCAGCGGCCACGUGUGUUUGACAGAUGCCAGCAUAAGACAAUAGAAAUGGGAGCGUGCGGGCACAUGGCUGAUUAAAAGCAAUCCAGGAGCUCAGAAACAGCUCGCUAUUGCUGGCAUAUACACUCUACAGUCUCGAUAUCCACAGGCCUCCCUACACCCGCACUGCUCUUUAGGCUAACUCCUUUCACAACUACAUGCAUAAAUAUACAUCGGCCCUAACCCUAACCCAAAAGUAAAGAAAAACCGUAUCUACAGAUGACUUCCUCAAGAGAAGCCUUUAUUCACAGUAACUAGUAACUCGACAAAAAUGCCCACCAACUGGGAAAUUGAGUAAACAAAUUGUGGUAUAUAAUCCAGUUCUACUCCACAACAAAAAGAAACCAAGGCAGAAUAAUAAC
RNAcentral lists this long non-coding RNA (829 nucleotides) under Cricetulus griseus (Chinese hamster). RNAcentral describes it as "lncRNA (ENSCGRG00015018464.2)". The record is from RNAcentral. Lineage: Eukaryota; Metazoa; Chordata; Mammalia; Rodentia; Cricetidae.